CAAUAAGCGGAGGAAAAGAAACCAACAGGGAUUGCCCUAGUAACGGCGAGUGAAGCGGCAACAGCUCAAAUUUGAAAUCUGGCGCAAGCCCGAGUUGUAAUUUGUAGAGGAUGCUUCUGGGCAGCGGCCGUUCUAAGUUCCUUGGAACAGGACGUCAUAGAGGGUGAGAAUCCCGUAUGUGAACGGCGCGCACCCUCCACGUAGCUCCUUCGACGAGUCGAGUUGUUUGGGAAUGCAGCUCUAAAUGGGAGGUAAAUUUCUUCUAAAGCUAAAUACCGGCCAGAGACCGAUAGCGCACAAGUAGAGUGAUCGAAAGAUGAAAAGCACUUUGGAAAGAGAGUUAAAAAGCACGUGAAAUUGUUGAAAGGGAAGCGCUCACAACCAGACUUCGCAGCGGUGUUCCGCCGGUCCUCUGACCGGUCCACUCGCCGCCGCGAGGCCAACAUCAUCUGGGGCCGCCGGAUAAGACCGUAGGAAUGUAGCUCCCCUCGGGGAGUGUUAUAGCCUGCGGUGAUGCGGCGAGCCUCGGGUGAGGUCCGCACUUCGGUAAGGAUGUUGGCGUAAUGGUUGUUAGCGGCCCGUCUUGAAACACGGACCAAGGAGUCUAACAUCUAUGCGAGUGUUCGGGUGUCAAACCCCUACGCGUAAUGAAAGUGAACGGAGGUGGGAACGCAAGUGCACCAUCGACCGAUCCUGAUGUCCUCGGAUGGAUUUGAGUAAGAGCAUAGCUGUUGGGACCCGAAAGAUGGUGAACUAUGCCUGAAUAGGGUGAAGCCAGAGGAAACUCUGGUGGAGGCUCGCAGCGGUUCUGACGUGCAAAUCGAUCGUCAAAUUUGGGUAUAGGGGCGAAAGACUAAUCGAACCAUCUAGUAGCUGGUUCCUGCC
This 885-nucleotide ribosomal RNA is filed under the name Xenosonderhenia syzygii. Its description in RNAcentral is "eukaryotic LSU rRNA". It matches the Rfam family "Eukaryotic large subunit ribosomal RNA", at positions 44 to 962 of the family's 3401-position model. The record is from RNAcentral. Lineage: Eukaryota; Fungi; Ascomycota; Dothideomycetes; Mycosphaerellales; Mycosphaerellaceae.